This 426-nucleotide ribosomal RNA is filed under the name eukaryotic picoplankton environmental sample. RNAcentral's name for it is "SSU rRNA". It matches the Rfam family "Eukaryotic small subunit ribosomal RNA", at positions 734 to 1150 of the family's 1831-position model. The record is from RNAcentral.
GGCGGGGACGCCUGUCGUUUACUGUGAACAAAUUAGAGUGUUCAAAGCAAGGUGUACUUGAAUACAUUAGCAUGGAAUAAUAAGAUAGGACUUUGGUGGUUCUUUUUAGAUAUUUUGUUGGUUUGCACGCCAAAGUAAUGAUUAAUAGGAGCAGUUGGGGGUAUUCGUAUUCAAUUGUCAGAGGUGAAAUUCUUGGAUUUAUAGAAGACGAACUACUGCGAAAGCAUUUACCAAGGAUGUUUUCAUUAAUCAAGAACGAAAGUUAGGGGAUCGAAGAAGAUUAGAUACCUUCGUAGUCCUAACCAUAAACCAUGCCGGACUCGGGAUUGGCGGUCGUUACUUUUUAUCGACUCCGUCAGCACCGUAUGAGAAAUCAAAGUCUUUGGGUUCCGGGGGGAGUAUGGUCGCAAGGCUGAAACUCAAAGU